GUGGGGAAUCUUGCGCAAUGGGCGAAAGCCUGACGCAGCCAUGCCGCGUGAAUGAUGAAGGUCUUAGGAUUGUAAAAUUCUUUCACCGGGGACGAUAAUGACGGUACCCGGAGAAGAAGCCCCGGCUAACUUCGUGCCAGCAGCCGCGGUAAUACGAAGGGGGCUAGCGUUGCUCGGAAUUACUGGGCGUAAAGGGCGCGUAGGCGGACAGUUUAGUCAGAGGUGAAAGCCCAGGGCUCAACCUGGGAAUUGCCUUUGAUACUUGCUGUCUUGAGUACGGGAGAGGUGAGUGGAACUCCGAGUGUAGAGGUGAAAUUCGUAGAUAUUCGGAAGAACACCAGUGGCGAAGGCGACUCACUGGCCCAUUACUGACGCUGAGGCGCGAAAGCGUGGGGAGCAAACAGGAUUAGAAACCCCUGUAGUCC
Molecule: ribosomal RNA, 425 nt
Filed under: uncultured bacterium
Lineage: Bacteria
Description: partial 16S ribosomal RNA
Rfam family: Bacterial small subunit ribosomal RNA
Source: RNAcentral